CGUGGGGUAACCUGCCCAAGAGAUCGGGAUAACACCUGGAAACAGAUGCUAAUACCGGAUAACAACAGAUGAUGCCUAUCAACUGUUUAAAAGAUGGUUCUGCUAUCACUCUUGGAUGGACCUGCGGUGCAUUAGCUAGUUGGUAGGGUAACGGCCUACCAAGGCGAUGAUGCAUAGCCGAGUUGAGAGACUGAUCGGCCACAUUGGGACUGAGACACGGCCCAAACUCCUACGGGAGGCAGCAGUU
RNAcentral lists this ribosomal RNA (247 nucleotides) under uncultured Lactobacillus sp. RNAcentral describes it as "partial 16S ribosomal RNA". It matches the Rfam family "Bacterial small subunit ribosomal RNA", at positions 116 to 355 of the family's 1533-position model. The record is from RNAcentral. Lineage: Bacteria; Bacillati; Bacillota; Bacilli; Lactobacillales; Lactobacillaceae.